This 459-nucleotide ribosomal RNA is filed under the name uncultured bacterium. RNAcentral describes it as "partial 16S ribosomal RNA". It matches the Rfam family "Bacterial small subunit ribosomal RNA", at positions 338 to 795 of the family's 1533-position model. The record is from RNAcentral.
ACUACGGGUGGCAGCAGUGAGGAAUAUUGGUCAAUGGGCGGAAGCCUGAACCAGCCAAGUAGCGUGCGGGAUGAAGGCCCUACGGGUCGUAAACCGCUUUUGCACGGGGAUAACACCCUCCACUUGUGGAGGUCUGCAGGUACCGUUCGAAUAAGGGCCGGCUAAUUCCGUGCAAGCAGCCGCGGUAAUACGGAAGGCCCGAUCGUUAUCCGGAUUCUUUGGGCUGAACGGGAGCGUAGGCGGGCGUUCAAGUCAGCUGUAAAAUCGCGCGGCUCAAACGCGCCCCGCAGUUGAAACUGGACGCCUUGAGUGCACAACAGGCAGGCGGAAUUCGUGGUGUAGCGGUGAAAUGCAUAGAUAUCACGAGGAACCCCGAUUGCGAAGGCAGCCUGCCGGGGUGCGACUGACGCUGAGGCUCGAAGGUGCGGGUAUCAAACAGGAUUAGAUACCCUAGUAGUC